This 797-nucleotide ribosomal RNA is filed under the name Streptococcus intermedius. RNAcentral describes it as "bacterial SSU rRNA". It matches the Rfam family "Bacterial small subunit ribosomal RNA", at positions 48 to 833 of the family's 1533-position model. Lineage: Bacteria; Bacillati; Bacillota; Bacilli; Lactobacillales; Streptococcaceae. The record is from RNAcentral.
GUAGAACGCACAGGAUGCACCGUAGUUUACUACACCGUAUUCUGUGAGUUGCGAACGGGUGAGUAACGCGUAGGUAACCUGCCUGGUAGCGGGGGAUAACUAUUGGAAACGAUAGCUAAUACCGCAUAAGAACAUUUACUGCAUGGUAGAUGUUUAAAAGGUGCAAAUGCAUCACUACCAGAUGGACCUGCGUUGUAUUAGCUAGUAGGUGAGGUAACGGCUCACCUAGGCGACGAUACAUAGCCGACCUGAGAGGGUGAUCGGCCACACUGGGACUGAGACACGGCCCAGACUCCUACGGGAGGCAGCAGUAGGGAAUCUUCGGCAAUGGGGGGAACCCUGACCGAGCAACGCCGCGUGAGUGAAGAAGGUUUUCGGAUCGUAAAGCUCUGUUGUUAAGGAAGAACGAGUGUGAGAAUGGAAAGUUCAUACUGUGACGGUACUUAACCAGAAAGGGACGGCUAACUACGUGCCAGCAGCCGCGGUAAUACGUAGGUCCCGAGCGUUGUCCGGAUUUAUUGGGCGUAAAGCGAGCGCAGGCGGUUAGAUAAGUCUGAAGUUAAAGGCAGUGGCUCAACCAUUGUAGGCUUUGGAAACUGUUUAACUUGAGUGCAGAAGGGGAGAGUGGAAUUCCAUGUGUAGCGGUGAAAUGCGUAGAUAUAUGGAGGAACACCGGUGGCGAAAGCGGCUCUCUGGUCUGUAACUGACGCUGAGGCUCGAAAGCGUGGGGAGCGAACAGGAUUAGAUACCCUGGUAGUCCACGCCGUAAACGAUGAGUGCUAGGUGUUAGGUCCUUU